UUAUAGAGCCCGACUCAAAUUUGUAUAGCCCCUUUGUCUCUAUCUCUAUCUCUUUCUCUCUUCACAUGCAGAGCCUCGUCAGAUGUUAUGGAUGUCGUCGCCAUCGCCAACGACUGAAUCAUCACAAUGUCGUUUUUCUCUUCGAUUAUCGAAGUACUAUUUCGUGAUUUCAUGAAUCAUCAUAACGUCGUUCUCGUUCUUCAAGCAGUCGAGGCCUAAGACACCACAGGAAUUGGCGAAGGCGAUAAAGGAUAGUCUCAUGGUGAUCGAUUCCAUUACUGCAGCUAAGCUAAGCUUCAAGUUCCGCAACAUUUUCAGUGGAAAAUGUGAUUAUAAUUUGUGAUUCGCUGGUUCUAAUUUUUCUGUUGUUAUUGGUUUAUUAUAAUUUUUGUCUUCUAUUGAAGGUAAUUUGAGCAUUAACAGUCAAUUUAGUUAAUUUUGGAGCAACACGGACUUCUUCAUCUUCUUCUACUACAUUUUUUUUUACUGUAUCGAUAUUCUUGAGGAAAUUGUGAUUUGUUUUACUUAGAAGAUAUUAUAAAGUAGUCAAACUUUUCGAAAUGGGUGUGUAGAUGCAAGUAAAAUCACAAUUUUUAACAGUGAAGAGAUGAUUGAUUUCUUAUAUAGGUUCUAAUUUUUAGUUAAAAGGAUGAGUUGAUCCGUAGAAUGAGUUCAGGCUAUUCAGUUCAGAUAUUAGUUUGUGAUUUGAUCUCAUGCCUUCCAGAACUGAAUAUCCACAUGGACCACAUCUAAAAUAUCAGAUACAAUCAGCUAAGAAUUCAGACAGUGCAAUUCAAAUUAUUUGUUUUUUGCAACACUUUUUCAUAUAAGCAGGCAACUAAUUAUUCAUUCUAAGGGAAACUCAAUCUAGCUAAGCACUUCUGAAAUAGCACUAGAGCACUAUUUCUAAUCACUUUUCUUUCAAUAAAUUUGUAUUCCUAUUAACAAACUUUCCUUGAGUAUUACUGCUGAAACUAAUUCUAGAGAACCAUCUGUUGUAGAGAGCAAUCUUCUCAAAAUGGUUCAGGUAUAAAUUGGGGCAAGAACACUUGUGGUGUUAUUCUUGAGUUUGUCUUCCUUUCUCCUAUUUUUAGCUAUUAUACAAAAAUUGCUUUCCUGUGGAUACAUUUUGGUCAUGUCUUGUUAUGUCAGUGUUGUUUGACAAUAUGCACUGUGGCAGCUAUGAUAACAAGGGAAAUGCUCUAACUUGUGGACACAUGCUGAGGGAGUGCAUCAAAUGAAAAGUAGUUUGGUUUCUUUCUCAAUAAGGAUGAUAUAGCAGAGUUGAGAAAUAACAUGCACGAUUUCUCAUCUAAUCAUAUAAUCCCUCUUAUGAAGCUGAAAAUUUGUGUUCUUAACCAGCGGGUUUCAGCGAUUUGGAUCAUUUGACGAAUCUAUGCAACUACUCAAGAAACUUAUAAAGCAGUUGAGGAGAAAUGCCUUAGAAGAGGCUUUAGUCAAAUUGAACGUAAACAGAGAAGUGUUAUGAACUUUACUGAUUAUCAGAAGAUGCCGGAGAAGAACAUGAGUUUUGCAGUUUUACGCCUCUUUCAGAUUGUUUAUUUUAUAAAUUUAUAAUUCAUUAUAAAAUUUAAAUGGUGGCUAUAA
Molecule: long non-coding RNA, 1608 nt
Organism: Salvia miltiorrhiza (redroot sage)
Lineage: Eukaryota; Viridiplantae; Streptophyta; Magnoliopsida; Lamiales; Lamiaceae
Exons: 3
Source: RefSeq, a predicted model, not a curated record